AACAACAACCACCGCCGCCGCUAUCAUCAUCAUCAUCAUCAUGGCGACGCUCACACGCCGCCACUCGGGGGGAAAGGCAACAUCGAACCAUCCGUCGGGCCGGCAGUCGACGAUCCCUCGUCGAGGCGAUUGAAGCUCCCGUGUCGGGGAGAUCGUUGCUCCUGCAGCUUGGAGCUCCCGAAGUGGGUCUCUAACCAGAGACCGCGAGCUCCCCGAUGUUAACUCCGCAGGCUCACGUGGUGUGAGCUCAGCGGCCGGUCCCUGGCAAAGGAAUCGCCAGCUCCGCAAUGUUAAAGUCGAUCUCCAACUCCUCGAUGUUAGACCGCAGUGCGGACGGAGAUACGAUACGGGAAAAAAUCGCUUCUCCGUCGAGAGAGACAACCAUGAGGCCUGUUGGCAGCACAACCCACCUGGGCACCAGGACCUGUUAGAACGUGUCAACAUAUGAGCAAGCAUAACAGGGUUGUGACAUGAGAGGUACUGUUAACCACUGGACUGAUAAGCAUCUGAUCCAUUCUGUUAUCUCCAACCAAAUGUCAUCACAACAGCAAUAAUAAAAUAUAAAUGAAGCCACAAGAAUAUUGAUGACAGUGUUCUUAAGAAUCCUGCCAAAAAAAUCCCUUCUGAGACAACACGCAACCAAGAGGUGUCUGGACUGCCCUGAGAUCAACUAUAGGUACAAUAGAAGAAGCGCUCCUUGGCUUAUCGGAAAGCACUAAAAGCAGUUUUACGAAAAUGACCAGAAGAUCCAAGAGCUAAUUAAAUCUAAAUACAAGGUGUUCUAGAAGUGAACUGCCCAGCAUGCCUCAAGGAAAAUGACAUUGGAUCUUAUAGAAACAUAUACAAUUAAAAAAGGACUGGACAAGCUAGAUGCAGGAAAAAUGUUCCCAAUGUUUGGGCGAGUCCAGAACCAGGGGCCACAGUCUUAGAAUAAAGGGGAGGUCGUUUAAGACUGAGGUGAGAAAAAACGUUUUCACCCAGAGUUGUGAAUUUAUGGAAUUCCCUGCCACAGAGGGCAGUGGAGGCCAAGUCACUGGAUGGAUUUAAGAGAGAGUUAGAUAGAGCUCUAGGGGUUAGUGGAGUCAAGGGAUAUGGGGAGAAGGCAGGCACGGGUUAUUGAUAGUGGACGAUCAGCCAUGAUCACAAUGAAUGGCGAUGCUGGCUCGAAGAGCCGAAUGGCCUCCUCCUGCACCUAUUUCCUAUGUUUCUAUCAUUUCCGAGGAUGUUGCCAGGACUAGAGGGUCUGAGCUAUAGGGAGAGGUAGUGUAGGCUGGGUCUCUAUUCUUUGGAGUGCAGGAGGAUGAGGGUGAUCUUAUAGAGGUGUACAAAAUCAUGAGAGGAAUAGAUCGGGUGGAUGCACACAGUCUCUUGCCCACAGUAGGGGAAUCUAGGACCAGAGGUCAUAGAUUCAAGGUGAAGGGGAAAAGACUUAAUAGGAAUCUGAGGGGUAACUUUUUCACACAAAGGGUGGUGAGUGUAUGGAACAAGCUGCCAGACUAUCCCAUCAUUUAAAAAGCAGUUAGACAUGUACAUGGAUAGGACAGGUUUGGAGGGAUAUGGACCAAGCACAGGCAGAUGGGACUAGUGUAGCUGGGACAUGUAGAUCGGUGUGGGCACGUUGGGCUGAAGGGCCUGUUUCCACACUGUAUCACUCUA
Molecule: long non-coding RNA, 1656 nt
Organism: Leucoraja erinaceus (little skate)
Lineage: Eukaryota; Metazoa; Chordata; Chondrichthyes; Rajiformes; Rajidae
Exons: 3
Source: RefSeq, a predicted model, not a curated record